Molecule: RNA transcript, 2192 nt
Organism: Cucurbita pepo subsp. pepo (vegetable marrow)
Lineage: Eukaryota; Viridiplantae; Streptophyta; Magnoliopsida; Cucurbitales; Cucurbitaceae
Gene name: heat stress transcription factor A-8
Source: RefSeq, a predicted model, not a curated record
GCGGAGAAGAGAAGCGUCCACUGACAUGCCUGCCUCUCAAAAACCCAACCACACGACGCGGCAAAAAAGGGAUAAACCCCAAAAUUCUUCCUGUUCUACCCAAUUCCCCGAAUCAUUUUUCUAUGCUUUCCUUCUAAUUUCUUCCUUUAUCCUUUUGCUUUCCUCCUAAUUACGCUAUCUAAUCUCAUCGGACUUCGAGAAUUUUGCGAUGGUGAAAUCCGCGGGGGAGCGGCAGGGAUCUUCGGUGGCGCCUUUUCUGAAGAAAUUGUACGAGAUGGUCGACGAUGAGGCAACCAAUUCCAUUAUCUCGUGGAGUCCGAGGGAUGAUAGCUUUACGAUUUUGGACAUGACUCAUUUCUCUGUCCACUUGCUUCCUAAGUACUUUAAGCACAGUAAUUUCUCUAGCUUUAUGCGGCAGCUUAACAUCUAUGGUUUUCGGAAAAUUGAGACAGAUUGCUGGGAAUUUGCAACUGAUGGAUUCGUUAAAGGACAAAAACAUCUGUUGAAGAACAUCUACCGAAGGAAAAACAUUCAGGGCACAGAUCAGCGUAAAGCGUCACAGCCCCAAGACAAUUCUGAGGGACAAGGUGAACUACAUGAUUAUACAGGGCUGUGGAAGGAAGUUGAGAAUCUUAAAAUAGAUAAAAAUGCUGUAAUGCAGGAAUUGGUUAAACUUAGGCAGCAGCAGGAAACUUCAGAGAACAAGAUGCUCCUAUUGAGAGACCGCCUUCAAGGUAUGGAAAAGAAUCAACAGCAGAUGCUAUCAUUCUUAGUAAUGGCAGUGCAAAGCCCUGGAUUUUUGGUUCAGUUUCUUCAACCAAAAGAGAAGAAUUGGCGCAUGGCUGAUGCUGGCAAUAUGUUAGAACAAAUUCCAGAUGAUAAUCAAGUACCUUCAAAUGGUUUGAUAGUCAGGUAUCAACGUCCAAUAGAUGAACUGCCAGCACCUCUACUUCCUCCAGUGUCGGGUCUGGGGAAACAACAAGAAUCUGAUCCAUUCCCUGAUGGAAUGAAGGACUUUUUCCUUAAUUCCGACUUCAUGAAAGUACUUAUGGAUGAAAAGUUAGACAAUCACAGCCAAUUUGUUCUACCAGAUGUACAGGAUGUCGCAUGGGAGCAGCUUCUUUUAGCGAGCACUGUUUCUUGUAAUUCAGAUAAUGUUAGAAAAGUUGACGACGAACGGGAGCCUAUGGACCAUGAGGACCAUGAACUGGAUAUGGAAACAAUUGAUACUCGAACUCAUGAAGAGAAUCUGCAAGAUUUCGAACUUCUAAUCAAACAAAUGGAGAAAGGUGAAAAUUUCGGGUUGCAACCAAGGUUGGAUGAAUCGUAUAUUGAGAAAUCAAAUACUGUUAAUCUUAUGGAACUUAUGGCAUCUGAUCAAGAAAUCCUAUAUGAAACACAGCCGAAGAUGCAAGGCCAUUAAAAGAAUUAGAUGCUUUUUAGGCGGAUUUAUGUUUCUUCAUGGAUUUAAAUCUCAAAGAUCAGUAUAAGUUUCUUUUGUCUUCACCAUCCAUACCAAGUACCCAUUGGUUGGCUAUGAAGUUAUGGUGAUAAGGCUGCUGCUGCUAUUUCAAUGUCUUGAGCAGAGUAUUGAAUUUCAAACAGGUUUAGGAAUUUCGGCCAUCUUUUUGUUGGUGAUAACCUCAAGACUAUAGCAACUAGAUCCUCAGAAAAUGAAAUAUACAAUCCGAAAUGUUACUGAAAAAUUGUACAUCACAUCACCUAAGUCAUGAACCUCAUGGGACUUCAAAAUUGGCACAUCGCAAAAUGCCAUAAUAUGGGUGGUCAAGUGAGUAGCACAGUCACGUCGCCUUUUAAGACCGGGAAUACAAUAUCCAAAGCGAAAAUAAUGGUUUGUAUACACGACACUGGUAGCACGUGCCUCUAAUCCAAGGAGAAUGCUCCAUUGCAGUACCUGUAGAGCCCAAAUACAAAAUAACUUCUCAGUUUGUAGGCAAAGAUAAAGAGAUUUUUCAUCUUUUUUGGCAAAAAUCCUCUUUGUGCAACUUCUUGACAUAGGCUAAGUAAACUUUUAUGUAACUACUCUCUUUGCAAUGUUCUGACCAAGCUCGUUUGCCUUAGGGGUGGCUCCAGUAUUUUCAUCAAUCUUAUGACAUAUUCCAUUUCUCUUAGUAAAAUAAGGGCCCUUUCAUCGUCCGUCAAUCAAUAGAAAAUGACUUCAAUUAUUCUCA